Molecule: ribosomal RNA, 392 nt
Filed under: Botuliforma sp.
Lineage: Eukaryota; Cercozoa; Thecofilosea; Ebriacea
Description: partial small subunit ribosomal RNA
Rfam family: Eukaryotic small subunit ribosomal RNA
Source: RNAcentral
AGCUCCAGUAGCGUAUAUUAAAGUUGUUGCAGUUAAAAAGCUCGUAGUUGGAUUUCUGGCUUGACAACUCUGGCCUGCUAUCAAUUCGAUGGUACGUGCCGGUUGUUGUCUGCCAUCCUUCUAGAAAACGAAUCUACCAUUCAUUUGGCCGGGUUCGCGAUCUAGAUCUUUUACUUUGAAGAAAUUAGAGUGUUCAAAGCAGGCUUACGCUAUGAAUACAUUAGCAUGGAAUAAUAAUUUAGGACUUUGGUUCUAUUUUGUUGGUUUCUAGAACUAAAGUAAUGAUUGAUAGGGAUAGUUGGGGGUGCUAGUAUUGAGCGGCCAGAGGUGAAAUUCUCAGAUUCGCUCAAGACUAACUUAUGCGAAAGCAUUCACCAAGGAUGUCUUCUUUA